GACGAACCGUGCGAACGUUAUUCGGAAUCACUGGGCUUAAAGGGUGCGUAGGCGGGUUGCCAAGUCUGUGGUGAAAUCCUCCGGCUUAACCGGAGAACGGCCGUGGAUACUGGCGACCUCGAGUGGGGCAGGGGCUUGCGGAACUGUGCGUGGAGCGGUGAAAUGCGUUGAUAUGCACAGGAACUCCGGUGGCGAAGGCGGCGAGCUGGACCCUAACUGACGCUGAGGCACGAAAGCCAGGGGAGCGAACGGG
This 253-nucleotide ribosomal RNA is filed under the name uncultured bacterium. RNAcentral describes it as "partial 16S ribosomal RNA". It matches the Rfam family "Bacterial small subunit ribosomal RNA", at positions 524 to 776 of the family's 1533-position model. The record is from RNAcentral.